RNAcentral lists this ribosomal RNA (253 nucleotides) under uncultured bacterium. Its description in RNAcentral is "partial 16S ribosomal RNA". It matches the Rfam family "Bacterial small subunit ribosomal RNA", at positions 524 to 776 of the family's 1533-position model. The record is from RNAcentral.
UACGGAGGGGGCAAGCGUUGUCCGGAUUUAUUGGGCUUAAAGGGUGCGUAGGCGGCCCUGUAAGUCAGUGCUGAAAUAUCCCGGCUUAACCGGGAGGGUGGCAUUGAUACUGCGGGGCUAGAGUGCAGAUGAGGUAGGCGGAAUUGACGGUGUAGCGGUGAAAUGCUUAGAUAUCGUCAAGAACACCUAUAGCGAAGGCAGCUUACUAGGCUGUAACUGACGCUAAGGCACGAAAGUGUGGGGAUCAAACAGG